RNAcentral lists this ribosomal RNA (469 nucleotides) under uncultured bacterium. RNAcentral's name for it is "partial 16S ribosomal RNA". It matches the Rfam family "Bacterial small subunit ribosomal RNA", at positions 329 to 794 of the family's 1533-position model. The record is from RNAcentral.
AUCCAGACUCCUACGGGAGGCAGCAGUGAGGAAUAUUGGUCAAUGGGCGCGAGCCUGAACCAGCCAAGUCGCGUGAGGGAUGACGGCCCUACGGGUUGUAAACCUCUUUUGCCGGGGAGCAACGGGCGCCACGUGUGGCGCCACUGAGAGUACCCGGAGAAAAAGCAUCGGCUAACUACGUGCCAGCAGCCGCGGUAAUACGUAGGUGGCGAGCGUUGUCCGGAUUUACUGGGCGUAAAGGGAGCGUAGGCGGAUUUUUAAGUGAGAUGUGAAAUACUCGGGCUCAACUUGAGUGCUGCAUUUCAAACUGGAAGUCUAGAGUGCAGGAGAGGAGAAUGGAAUUCCUAGUGUAGCGGUGAAAUGCGUAGAGAUUAGGAAGAACACCAGUGGCGAAGGCGAUUCUCUGGACUGUAACUGACGCUGAGGCUCGAAAGCGUGGGGAGCGAACAGGAUUAGAUACCCCUGUAGA